Molecule: ribosomal RNA, 254 nt
Filed under: uncultured bacterium
Lineage: Bacteria
Description: partial 16S ribosomal RNA
Rfam family: Bacterial small subunit ribosomal RNA
Source: RNAcentral
UACGUAGGGGGCGAGCGUUGUUCGAAGUUACUGGGCGUAAAGCGCGCGUAGGCGGCUUCUUAAGUCUGAGGUGAAAGGCUCAACGCUUAACGUGAACAGUGCCUUGGAUACUGGGGAGCUUGAGUGUGGCAGAGGAUAGUGGAAUUCCUGGUGUAGCGGUGAAAUGCGUAUAUAUCAGGAGGAACACCGAUGGCGAAGGCAGCUAGCUGGGCUAGCACUGACGCUGAGGUGCGAAAGCGUGGGGAGCGAACGGG